Molecule: non-coding RNA, 107 nt
Organism: Jatropha curcas
Lineage: Eukaryota; Viridiplantae; Streptophyta; Magnoliopsida; Malpighiales; Euphorbiaceae
Source: Rfam
CAACCAUAAUGAAGGCAUUGCCUUUGAAUGUCUCUAUACCUUUCCUAAGCUUUAAAAAGACUCUCAUCAGGUUUUUGCUUGGAAGUAGCAAUCUCCGUCUUGAGUUU